GACGAACGCUGGCGGCGUGCUUAACACAUGCAAGUCGAGCGGAAAGGCUCCUUCGGGGGUACUCGAGCGGCGAACGGGUGAGUAACACGUGAGUAAUCUGCCCUUGGCUUCGGGUUAGCCACCGGAAGCGGUGAUUAAUACCGGAUACGACAACUUCUCGCAUGGGAUGGUUGUGGAAAGUUUUUUCGGCCAGGGAUGUGCUCGCGGCCUAUCAGCUUGAUGGUGAGGUAAUGGCUCACCAUGGCUUCGACGGGUAGCCGGCCUGAGAGGGUGACCGGUCAAACUGGGACUGAGGCACGGCCCAGACUCCUACGGGGGGCAGCAGUGGGGAAUAUUGGACAAUGGGCGGAAGCCUGAUCCAGCAACGCCGCGUGAGGGAUGACGGCCUUCGGGUUGUAAACCUCUUUCGGUAGGGACGAAGCGCAAGUGACGGUACCUACUAAAGAAGCACCGGCCAACUACGUGCCAGCAGCCGCCGUAA
Molecule: ribosomal RNA, 481 nt
Filed under: uncultured bacterium
Lineage: Bacteria
Description: partial 16S ribosomal RNA
Rfam family: Bacterial small subunit ribosomal RNA
Source: RNAcentral